GAUGAACGCUGGCGGCGUGCCUAAUACAUGCAAGUCGAACGAAACUUCUUUAUCACCGAGUGCUUGCACUCACCGAUACAGAGUUGAGUGGCGAACGGGUGAGUAACACGUGGGCAACCUGCCCAAAAGAGGGGGAUAACACUUGGAAACAGGUGCUAAUACCGCAUAACCAUAGUUACCGCAUGGUAACUAUGUAAAAGGUGGCUAUACUACCGCUUUUGGAUGGGCCCGCGGGGCAUUAGCUAGUUGUUAGGGUAAAGGCUUACCAGGGCAAUGAUGCGUAGCCGAAUUGAUUGAGUGGUCGGCCGCCUUGGAACUGGGACACGGCCAAAGGUCCUACGGGAGGCAGCAGUAGGGAAUGUUCCACAACAGGGGAAAGCCUGACAGAACAGCGCCGCGUGGGUGAAGGAGGUCUUCGGAUCGUAAAGCCCUGUUGUUAGAGAAGAAAGUGCGUGAGAGUAACUGUACACGUAUCGACGGUAACUAACCAGAAAGCCACGGCUAACUACGUG
This 512-nucleotide ribosomal RNA is filed under the name uncultured bacterium. Its description in RNAcentral is "partial 16S ribosomal RNA". It matches the Rfam family "Bacterial small subunit ribosomal RNA", at positions 28 to 507 of the family's 1533-position model. The record is from RNAcentral.